Molecule: long non-coding RNA, 1441 nt
Filed under: Homo sapiens (human)
Lineage: Eukaryota; Metazoa; Chordata; Mammalia; Primates; Hominidae
Description: novel transcript
Source: RNAcentral
GUCUGCAUCCAAGCAUCCCUGUGCUUUCCCUGUGAGCUGGCAGUCCCCACUAUGAGAUUCUAGCCUGGGAAUGUGCUAUAGGGAAGCUUACAGCAGCAGAUCAUAGAAAAGCAAAAUAGAAAUGUGAAAGGAAAAUAAAAACUUGGGACCCCUACUCCCUCCGCCAAAAGAAAAAAAAAAUGCUGAAAGUGGAGUCAUGCAAGAAGCUGCCUUUCCCUUUGUUCCUAAGCAGAUAGAGACAGAUAAAAGGUUAAAGAUCUCCACUCUGCAUUCACCUUAUCUUGUGUGAAGAGUCGAGUUACUGAGCAUGGGACGAACACAUAACUGACCAUUCCCCUACAUGCUCCUUUUCUUUUGCAACAUUUGGAUUCAGUAAUGUGACCAUACCCUCCCUCUGUCCCCUCCAGCUGGCUUUUUCCUUUAAAUACUGAAGCCCUCGAAAUCAUCUUUGGAGAAAGGCACAGACCUGUCUCCCAAGACGUGUCCUUAAUCUUGGCAAAGUAAACUUCUAAGUUGAUCGAGGCUUGUCUCAGAUAUUUUCAGGUUUACAGAAAGAAAUUCAAUUUCAGUCACAAACGGAAUGAUAAAAUAAGUUGUUACGCAUCCAUAGAAAGAAGAUAUUAACAUGAUGAACUUUCAAAUCAGCUUCUCAAGUGUCAACAUCCUGUUGCGAUUUUCAUUGAUAUUGAACUGAAUUUAUAGAUUUUGUAAGCAGAAAAAAAUUAUUUUAAUUUUUUGAGAAAAAAAGUUUUAAAUGGUUUGUUUUCAGACUGUGUCAAGAUAUCCCUACCUCCGAAGUUGUCAGGUUUGCGGACCUUGGGGUGAAGCGUGGGGCUGCUGGAGGCGUCCAGCCCUGACUGUGUGUCCAGGACAAUGAGCCCCGAAGUGAGCGGGCCGCGUCCUGUUGGCGCAGCCAACUUCACGCCCUCUGUCCAGGGAGGACUAAGGGACAAGCUGCAGCAGGCGCAGAGGACGCUGUUGGUGUCCGGGAGGCCGCUGGUACAGGGCGUUGGGCGUGGCUCCUUUCCAAGUGCCUUGCACUUUCCAGGCUGGGCUGCAGAAGCAGGCUCGGGGGCGACUCGCGUGGGGACUGAAGCAGCCAGCCUUGGCACCUGCCCACAGCAAAUAACUGCCUUGACUUGAUCUGGUUUUUUUGAAGAAAGGUUUAUUCAUACCCAUUAUGUGCGCAUGUGUAAAUUCAAACCCACGGCUUGCCGGAGCCUGGGCUUUCUCGAACAUCAGUUGCUCCCAUGCUACCAUUUUGCAGUUUGCCCGUCUCCAGUAGAUGAUUUCUGAAUAUUUUAAUCAACUCAUUAUUAACCAUUCACACGUCUACCUUAGCCUCAUUUUAAGCAAUUGCACCUGUGGGUUUCACAGGCCUGCUGUAUUUUUAGUACAUAUUAAAUAAAGCAUGUCUGUUGGGGCGUGCUGUGCUUGCCCA